This 468-nucleotide ribosomal RNA is filed under the name uncultured bacterium. Its description in RNAcentral is "partial 16S ribosomal RNA". It matches the Rfam family "Bacterial small subunit ribosomal RNA", at positions 28 to 507 of the family's 1533-position model. The record is from RNAcentral.
GACGAACGCUGGCGGCGUGCUUAACACAUGCAAGUCGAACGGAAAGGCCCUGCUUUUGUGGGGUGCUCGAGUGGCGAACGGGUGAGUAACACGUGAGUAACAUGCCCUUGACUUUGGGAUAACUUCAGGAAACUGGGGCUAAUACCGGAUAGGAGCUCCUGCUGCAUGGUGGGGGUUGGAAAGUUUCGGCGGUGGGGGAUGGACUCGCGGCUUAUCAGCUUGUUGGUGGGGUAGUUGCUUACCAAGGCUUUGACGGGUAGCCGGCCUGAGAGGGUGAACGGCCACAUGGGGCCUGCGAUACGGCCCAGACUCCUACGUGAGGCAGCAGGGGGGAAUAUUGCACAAUGGGCGGAAGCCUGAGGCAGCAACGCCGCGUGCGGGAUGACGGCCUUCGGGUUGUAAACCGCUUUCGCCUGUGACGAAGCGUGAGUGACGGUAAUGGGUAAAGAAGCACCGGCUAACUACGUG